This 814-nucleotide long non-coding RNA is filed under the name Astyanax mexicanus (Mexican tetra). Its description in RNAcentral is "lncRNA (ENSAMXG00005001517.1)". Lineage: Eukaryota; Metazoa; Chordata; Actinopteri; Characiformes; Acestrorhamphidae. The record is from RNAcentral.
UUCCUGCAGAUUCUGAUCAGUAUGUUCUUCCUUCAGCAUCAUAGACAGAUAUAGAAAAGAGCAUUUAUUAAUAAACAGCUGUAGAACAAUGAACAGUUAACUCAUAUCAAAGCUCAGCUGCUGUAAUUUAACAAUUUUCAUUUUAUUCAAAGAUUUUCCAUAAACUUCAAGACUGGAUCAUCAGAUGGGGACGACGUCGCUCUCCACUUCAACCCACUCAUUGGUCAGAAAGUGACUCUGAGCAGCUGCAGGAACGGGAAGUGGGAGAGUGAGGAAUCAGCUUCAGCCGAGCCGUUCACCAGUGGAGCUCCCUUCACCAUGUUUGUGAUCAUCAGUGCAGAGGGUUAUGAGGUUAAUGUGAAUGGAAUGGAACUCUGCAAGUUCAAACAUCGCGUACCAUUAGAGAAAGUAUCAGUUCUUAACAUUGCUGGAGGUGUGACCAUUGACAUGGUCGGGUUUGUCAUGAACUGGAGCAAAGCAGCUGUCUUUGAGGAGUCUGAGAUGGUCGUCAUGUGAGAGCUGGUUAUAAGAGAAACCCUUCACUAAGAUAUUGAACAUUAAUAUGAUUUUCUUCUUUACAUGCUUUUUUAGUGUUAUGCUCUAUUUUAUGAUUCCUAAAACACUCAGAACUUCAAAACAAGAGAGAAUUGAUGUGCAUGAUAUGUUUUUCUGACAAAAGGAAGAUUUACAAAACAGAUAGUUUCACCUGUAUACAGAGACAGGUGGCGUGCUUGCAGAAAUGGCUUCUUUCUCAUCACUCUCCCAUACAGCUUCUCCUUGUGUAAAGUGCGCUGUAUUGUUGACCGAUGCACAG